RNAcentral lists this ribosomal RNA (300 nucleotides) under uncultured bacterium. Its description in RNAcentral is "bacterial SSU rRNA". It matches the Rfam family "Bacterial small subunit ribosomal RNA", at positions 496 to 795 of the family's 1533-position model. The record is from RNAcentral.
GCUAACUCCGUGCCAGCAGCCGCGGUAAGACGGAGGAUGCAAGCGUUAUCCGGAAUGAUUGGGCGUAAAGCGUCUGUAGGUGGUUUAUUAAGUCUGCUGUUAAAGCACAGGGCUCAACCCUGUAUAGGCGGUAGAAACUGAUAGGCUUGAGUAUGGUAGGGGUAGAGGGAAUUCCCGAUGUAGUGGUGAAAUGCGUUGAUAUCGGGAAGAACACCAAAGGCGAAAGCACUCUGCUGGGCCAAUACUGACACUAAGAGACGAAAGCUAGGGGAGCAAAUGGGAUUAGAUACCCCGGUAGUC